AAAGAACUAACAAGGAUUCCCCNUAGUAACUGCGAGUGAAGCGGGAAAAGCUCAAAUUUUGAAUCGACGGUCUCUUGGCCGUUCGAGUUGUAAUCUAGAGAAGCGUCUUCCGCGCUGGCCCGUGUACAAGUCUCCUGGAAGGGAGCGUCAUAGAGGGUGACAAUCCCGUCUCUGACACGGACCACCAGUGCUUUGUGAUGCGCUCUCGACGAGUCGAGUUGUUUGGGAAUGCAGCUCAAAACGGGUGGUAAAUUCCAUCUAAAGCUAAAUACAGGCGAGAGACCGAUAGCGAACAAGUACCGUGAGGGAAAGAUGAAAAGAACUUUGGAAAGAGAGUUAAACAGUACGUGAAAUCGCUGAAAGGGAAACGCUUGAUGUCAGUCACAUCAGCCAGGGAUCAGCCUUGCUUCCUUGCUGGGUGUACUUCCUGGUGU
RNAcentral lists this ribosomal RNA (434 nucleotides) under uncultured Boletaceae. RNAcentral's name for it is "eukaryotic LSU rRNA". It matches the Rfam family "Eukaryotic large subunit ribosomal RNA", at positions 58 to 486 of the family's 3401-position model. The record is from RNAcentral. Lineage: Eukaryota; Fungi; Basidiomycota; Agaricomycetes; Boletales; Boletaceae.